Molecule: small nucleolar RNA, 107 nt
Filed under: Nicotiana sylvestris (wood tobacco)
Lineage: Eukaryota; Viridiplantae; Streptophyta; Magnoliopsida; Solanales; Solanaceae
Also listed under: 1 other name
Description: Plant small nucleolar RNA R71
Rfam family: Plant small nucleolar RNA R71
About the family: R71 is a member of the C/D box family of snoRNAs containing the C (UGAUGA) and D (CUGA) box motifs. Multiple nearly identical copies of this snoRNA have been identified in Arabidopsis, and it is thought to function as a 2'-O-ribose methylation guide for 18S ribosomal RNA.
Source: Rfam by way of RNAcentral
AAACCAUGAUUCGGAGACCUCACUUAAUAUAGCUUGAAUUGAUCCCAUGCCUCAUGUAGGUGUUCACCCAAUUAUUGCUUGACAAAGAAAAUUUUAUCCCUGAGCAC